AUGGCCAACAAUAAUUACUAUGUAUGUACGUAUGAAUGUAAAGGAGAUGGAGUGGUGGCUGGCAUUUAUAAAGAAAAAAAAGAGAAUCCUUCCUGUUAUAUAUUGGUUUUGUCUGACUGUUCAUCAUACAUAGGGACGACACAGCCAUUGGGGAUGAGCAGGAUGCCUAGGAAGAGGAGGACAAGGAGGUCGUUCAGCAGCAGCUCAUGGAGGAAUCAUUCCUGUUGGGGCUCACUUCCGUGGCCUAGCUUCACUUCACGACAUAGCAUCUGGCAAGUUCAGCACAUGGGAUGGGAAUGA
RNAcentral lists this ribosomal RNA (300 nucleotides) under Triticum aestivum (bread wheat). RNAcentral's name for it is "partial small subunit ribosomal RNA". Lineage: Eukaryota; Viridiplantae; Streptophyta; Magnoliopsida; Poales; Poaceae. The record is from RNAcentral.